UGGGGAAUAUUGGACAAUGGGCGCAAGCCUGAUCCAGCCAUGCCGCGUGUGUGAUGAAGGCCUUAGGGUUGUAAAGCACUUUCGCCGAUGAAGAUAAUGACUGUAGUCGGAGAAGAAGCCCCGGCUAACUUCGUGCCAGCAGCCGCGGUAAUACGAAGGGGGCAAGCGUUGUUCGGAUUUACUGGGCGUAAAGCGUACGUAGGCGGAUGAUUAAGUCAGGGUGAAAUCCCGGGCUCAACCUCGAACUGCCUUUGAUACUGGUCGUCUUGAGUCCGGGAGAGGUGAGUGGAACUCCUAGUGUAGAGGUGAAAUUCGUAGAUAUUAGGAAGAACACCAGUGGCGAAGGCGGCUCACUGGCCCGGAACUGACGCUGAGGUACGAAAGCGUGGGGAGCAAACAGGAUUAGAUACCCUGGUAGUCCACGCCGUAAACGAUGGAUGCUAGCCGU
RNAcentral lists this ribosomal RNA (448 nucleotides) under uncultured bacterium. RNAcentral's name for it is "partial 16S ribosomal RNA". It matches the Rfam family "Bacterial small subunit ribosomal RNA", at positions 355 to 823 of the family's 1533-position model. The record is from RNAcentral.